AUUGAACGCUGGCGGCAGGCCUAACACAUGCAAGUCGAGCGGAUGAAGGGAGCUUGCUCCUGGAUUCAGCGGCGGACGGGUGAGUAAUGCCUAGGAAUCUGCCUGGUAUUGGGGGAUAACGUCCGGAAACGGGCGCUAAUACCGCAUACGUCCUGAGGGAGAAAGUGGGGGAUCUUCGGACCUCACGCUAUCAGAUGAGCCUAGGUCGGAUUAGCUAGUUGGUAGGGUAAAGGCCUACCAAGGCGACGAUCCGUAACUGGUCUGAGAGGAUGAUCAGUCACACUGGAACUGAGACACGGUCCAGACUCCUACGGGAGGCAGCAGUGGGGAAUAUUGGACAAUGGGCGAAAGCCUGAUCCAGCCAUGCCGCGUGUGUGAAGAAGGUCUUCGGAUUGUAAAGCACUUUAAGUUGGGAGGAAGGGCAGUAAGUUAAUACCUUGCUGUUUUGACGGUACCAACAGAAUAAGCACCGGCUAACUUCGUG
RNAcentral lists this ribosomal RNA (484 nucleotides) under uncultured bacterium. RNAcentral's name for it is "partial 16S ribosomal RNA". It matches the Rfam family "Bacterial small subunit ribosomal RNA", at positions 30 to 507 of the family's 1533-position model. The record is from RNAcentral.